RNAcentral lists this ribosomal RNA (830 nucleotides) under Phylladiorhynchus koumac. Its description in RNAcentral is "SSU rRNA". It matches the Rfam family "Eukaryotic small subunit ribosomal RNA", at positions 593 to 1302 of the family's 1831-position model. The record is from RNAcentral. Lineage: Eukaryota; Metazoa; Arthropoda; Malacostraca; Decapoda; Galatheidae.
AAUGGCAUAUAUUAACGCUGUUGCGGUUAAAACGCUCGUAGUUGAUUCCGAGCUUAACCCGUGCACAGUCGGUGGAGAGUCGUCGUAAAUCCAAAGUGUAGACAUCUCCAUUUUGCCGACGUGUACGGAUGACAGCAGCUUGAUAUGUAAUAAUAUCAUGAUUUGCUUGAUGGCUGGCUCUUUCGGGUUAUGCUCUUUACCGAGUGUCCCGAGUGGCUGGUGUGUUUACUUUGAAAAAAUAAGAGUGCUCAAAGCAGGUAUAAUAAAAUGCCUGAAUUUUUACUGCAGAGUAUAAUAGAAUAAGACCUCAGUUCCGUUUCCUAAAAAUCUUUUUAAAUUAAUUUUUAAAAAUGUAUAAAAAGGACUGGUUUACCGGAACUGAGGUAAUGGAUAAUAGAGUCGGAUGGGGGCUUAUGUAUUGUGGCGCGAGAGGUGAAAUUCUAUGACCGUCACAAGACAAACAACAGCGAAGGCAUUUGCCAAGGAUGUUUUCAUUAAUCAGGAACCAAAGUUAGAGGUUCGAAGGCGAUCAGAUACCGCCCUAGUUCUAACCGUAAACUAUGCUGACCGGCUAUUCAUCUGUAAAAGUCACAUCCAGUGACUCGAUGAGCAUUCCCCUGGGAAACCAAAGUUUUUGAGUUCCGGGGGAAGUAUGGUUGCAAAGCUUAAACUUAAAGGAAUUGACGGAAGGGCACCACCAGGAGUGGAGCCUGCGGCUUAAUUUGACUCAACACGGGAAACCUCACCAGGUCCGGACACUAGAAGGAUUGACAGAUUGAAAGCUCUUUCUUGAUUCAGUGGGUGGUGGUGCAUGGCCGUUCUUAGUUGGU